GAUGAACGCUGGCGGCGUGCUUAACACAUGCAAGUCGAACGGGAAUUACUUUAUUGAAACUUCGGUCGAUUUAAUUUAAUUCUAGUGGCGGACGGGUGAGUAACGCGUGGGUAACCUGCCUUAUACAGGGGGAUAACAGUCAGAAAUGGCUGCUAAUACCGCAUAAGCGCACAGAGCUGCAUGGCUCGGUGUGAAAAACUCCGGUGGUAUAAGAUGGACCCGCGUUGGAUUAGCUUGUUGGUGGGGUAACGGCCUACCAAGGCGACGAUCCAUAGCCGGCCUGAGAGGGUGAACGGCCACAUUGGGACUGAGACACGGCCCAGACUCCUACGGGAGGCAGCAGUGGGGAAUAUUGCACAAUGGGGGAAACCCUGAUGCAGCGACGCCGCGUGAAGGAAGAAGUAUCUCGGUAUGUAAACUUCUAUCAGCAGGGAA
Molecule: ribosomal RNA, 435 nt
Filed under: uncultured bacterium
Lineage: Bacteria
Description: bacterial SSU rRNA
Rfam family: Bacterial small subunit ribosomal RNA
Source: RNAcentral